This 273-nucleotide ribosomal RNA is filed under the name uncultured bacterium. RNAcentral's name for it is "partial 16S ribosomal RNA". It matches the Rfam family "Bacterial small subunit ribosomal RNA", at positions 524 to 796 of the family's 1533-position model. The record is from RNAcentral.
UACGUAGGGACCAAGCGUUGUUCGGAUUUACUGGGCGUAAAGGGCGCGUAGGCGGCGUGUCAAGUCAAUUGUGAAAUCUCCGAGCUUAACUCGGAACUGCCAAUUGAUACUGAUGUGCUAGAGUGCAGAAAGGGCAAUCGGAAUUCUUGGUGUAGCGGUGAAAUGCGUAGAUAUCAAGAGGAACACCUGAGGCGAAGGCGGGUUGCUAGGCUGACACUGACGCUGAGGCGCGAAAGCUAGGGUAGCAAACGGGAUUAGAAACCCCCGUAGUCC